CAGCCGCCACGGUAAUACGGAGGGUGCAAGCGUUAAUCGGAAUUACUGGGCGUAAAGCGCACGCAGGCGGUUUGUUAAGUCAGAUGUGAAAUCCCCGAGCUUAACCUGGGAACUGCAUUUGAAACUGGCAAGCUAGAGUCUUGUAGAGGGGGGUAGAAUUCCAGGUGUAGCGGUGAAAUGCGUAGAGAUCUGGAGGAAUACCGGUGGCGAAGGCGGCCCCCUGGACAAAGACUGACGCUCAGGUGCGAAAGCGUGGGGAGCAAACAGGAUUAGAUACCCCGGUAGUCCCUGUCUCUUAUAC
Molecule: ribosomal RNA, 301 nt
Filed under: uncultured bacterium
Lineage: Bacteria
Description: partial 16S ribosomal RNA
Rfam family: Bacterial small subunit ribosomal RNA
Source: RNAcentral